Molecule: transfer RNA, 74 nt
Filed under: Phycisphaerae bacterium
Lineage: Bacteria; Pseudomonadati; Planctomycetota; Phycisphaerae
Also listed under: 1 other name
Description: tRNA-Cys
Rfam family: tRNA
About the family: Transfer RNA (tRNA) molecules are approximately 80 nucleotides in length. Their secondary structure includes four short double-helical elements and three loops (D, anti-codon, and T loops).
Source: RNAcentral
GGCGGCGUAGCCAAGUGGCCUAAGGCGACGGUUUGCAAAACCGUUAUCCGUGGGUUCGAAUCCCACCGCCGCCU